Molecule: ribosomal RNA, 253 nt
Filed under: uncultured bacterium
Lineage: Bacteria
Description: partial 16S ribosomal RNA
Rfam family: Bacterial small subunit ribosomal RNA
Source: RNAcentral
UACGUAGGGGGCUAGCGUUGUCCGGAAUCAUUGGGCGUAAAGCGCGUGUAGGCGGUCCGGUAAGUCCGCUGUGAAAGUCGGGGGCUCAACCUUUGAAUGCCGAUGGAUACUGUCGAGCUAGAGUCCGGAAGAGGCGAGUGGAAUUCCUGGUGUAGCGGUGGAAUGCGCAGAUAUCAGGAGGAACACCAACGGCGAAGGCAGCUCGCUGGGACGGUACUGACGCUAAGGCGCGAAAGCGUGGGGAGCAAACAGG